GCGCUCAUAGCUCAGCUGGAUAGAGCAUCGGCCUUCUAAGCCGACGGUCCGGGGUUCGAAUCCUCGUGGGCGCGCCA
RNAcentral lists this transfer RNA (77 nucleotides) under Congregibacter litoralis KT71. Its description in RNAcentral is "tRNA-Arg". It matches the Rfam family "tRNA". Rfam says of the family: Transfer RNA (tRNA) molecules are approximately 80 nucleotides in length. Their secondary structure includes four short double-helical elements and three loops (D, anti-codon, and T loops). The record is from RNAcentral. Lineage: Bacteria; Pseudomonadati; Pseudomonadota; Gammaproteobacteria; Cellvibrionales; Halieaceae.